UUUUACUUUAUUAUCAGUGUUAUUUUUUUGAUGUAACUCAAGGCAUUUAUGAGAUUCGAGUUCUGUUGUACAAGAAAACAUUAAAAAAAUAACACUGAUAAUAAAGUAAAAAAAUUUUAAUACGUCGAAGGAUAUAAAACUCCCUCUACUGUACAAAGAUAACCUGAUACUUUUAUUUUAUCAUCAUCUGAGAUGGCUUGUAAAAGUAGCAUAAAAACAUUACAUAUUCAAACAGCCUUCCAGUUCUGAUUUCUACACAGAGAUACAACCUUUAAGCUGAGCAGCAGAUGGAUCAGUGAACAGUGGCUUUUAAACAGGCUAAAACAACCAUUUUUAACACAAGCCCAGCUCACGUGUCUGCAUUAAUUCCAAAGAUCCGAACCUUGUGCAUAUUUGGGAACUUGGCAAUAACGAGCACUAUCACUGCAAGUGUGUUGAAGAAGAGCAUUGGAUGUUGAUA
RNAcentral lists this unclassified non-coding RNA (460 nucleotides) under Hevea brasiliensis (rubber tree). Lineage: Eukaryota; Viridiplantae; Streptophyta; Magnoliopsida; Malpighiales; Euphorbiaceae. The record is from RNAcentral.